RNAcentral lists this long non-coding RNA (199 nucleotides) under Solanum tuberosum (potato). RNAcentral describes it as "long non-coding RNA (STUB_LNC010046)". The record is from RNAcentral. Lineage: Eukaryota; Viridiplantae; Streptophyta; Magnoliopsida; Solanales; Solanaceae.
UAAUCUGAAGUCUAAAGCUAGUAUAAGUCAACAACAUGACUAUAAAAAUGCGGAGCUAAGUCGAUCGGAAGACUCUAAAAAUCCAGAGAUAAAAGGUGACGUUGGGAAACACCUAAAAACCCAUAAUGUUUGUUUAAAUACAGCUGCAGGUACAAGCAAACAAGUUAGCGAUAAACAACAUAAAAAUGCGAACUUAAAC